Molecule: ribosomal RNA, 403 nt
Filed under: uncultured bacterium
Lineage: Bacteria
Description: bacterial SSU rRNA
Rfam family: Bacterial small subunit ribosomal RNA
Source: RNAcentral
GGGGGAUAUUGCACAAUGGAGGAAACUCUGAUGCAGCAACGCCGCGUGAGGGAAGAAGGUCUUCGGAUUGUAAACCUUUGUCCUUGGUGACGAAACAAAUGACGGUAGCCAAGGAGGUAGCUCCGGCUAACUACGUGCCAGCAGCCGCGGUAAUACGUAGGGAGCAAGCGUUGUCCGGAUUUACUGGGUGUAAAGGGUGCGUAGGCGGCUCUGCAAGUCAGGCGUGAAAACUAUGGGCUUAACCCAUAGACUGCGUUUGAAACUGUGGGGCUUGAGUGAAGUAGAGGUAGGCGGAAUUCCCGGUGUAGCGGUGAAAUGCGUAGAGAUCGGGAGGAACACCAGUGGCGAAGGCGGCCCCCUGGGCCAAUACUGACGCUCAUGCACGAAAGCGUGGGGAGCAAAC